UUUGAAUAAUCUGAGAUACGAGAUUCCCUGGAUUAAGUGCCGUGGCUUGCCACCACGUGUACUAGGUUGAAAACUCGAUACUCUAUUGACCCUACGACGUAAGUGUGACCGGGCACUAUAUAAAUUCCCGGGAAUGUUACCCCCAUUGAGCAAUAUUGAUUAUUUGAGAAAAAUCUAUGCAUAGACUCUUGGGGAUGCACGUCGGGGGACAGUCUAAGGACAAUUCAGACUUGUCGGGUUGGCUGGAUAACCGACAGAUGAGCCUCAUCAGCCAUAGGACAGGCAUGCAUCAUAUGCAUAUUACUUGAAUUACUUGCUUGUGCUCUAAUUGGGUGUGCCUAUCUGUAUUUGCCAUGCUAAAUGUGUAUUUGUUACCUGCAGUAGUUGUAACUUUCUUGUGUUUGCCUUUAUCUGUUUAUUUGUCUGUGAAAAUGCAUGAUGGAAUUGGAGGUAUGGAGGAAUGGCAGUAUAGGACUUAGAUUUAAGGUUAAGUUAAGUUAGGAUUAAAUAUUUCUAGGAAACCACCUUUUAUGGCUUCUGUUUAAUACUUUAAGCUCUACAAUCUGAGUGUCGGCGUUCUAGGAUUGCCUCUGGCAUUCCCAGGACCUUAUAUAUUAUGUGUGUGGCACCUUUACCAUACUGAGAACCUCCGGUUCUCAUUCCAUACUAUGUUGUUAUUUUUCAGAUGCAGG
This 692-nucleotide long non-coding RNA is filed under the name Arachis ipaensis. RNAcentral describes it as "long non-coding RNA (AIPA_LNC002422)". Lineage: Eukaryota; Viridiplantae; Streptophyta; Magnoliopsida; Fabales; Fabaceae. The record is from RNAcentral.